UCCUGUGGGGGACAGCAGGAAGAAACCGUGUCAAGACCGACUGUCCGGAGUCCAAGAUAGUCACCAGCAACUCCGUGUUAGGACCCAACAAGAAGAUUGGAAUAAAGAUAGCAUUGCUGGUGAUUUUGCAAUUUGUGAGAAACUGAAAGUCAUUCACAGAUGCAUGGUAUGCCAAAGCAUUCAUGCUUGAUGUUGCCAAUGAAUUUUGACAAACCUUUGCGCAUAAAGUCAAGAUAAUCGAACAAUUAAAAGACAUGCCUCUGUCGGCCAGGCGAAUCAAACUGUAUUACAUUCACAAUUAUUGGAUGGAAGUCUCAACACCUGCAUCAGGCUUAAUCUAAUGACAUGAAAUUGACUACAAAGCCACCCACAAAAGCAUUGCAGCACAAGAAGUUGCAUUAAUGAAAAGGAGUCCUUUUGUUAGCGUUCAUUAGCAAAAGCAGAACCUUAUUUAAAAGAAUUCAGAGACUUAUUGUACUCUAAAAGUGUUGGUCUUACAUAAAAAGCUCAAAUACAAUAAAUAAAAAAAUAAAAAAUAAUGUAUGAUGCUUUUGGAAGUACAUUUUAAAACAUUUGCCAAUAUUUACACAUCCCAAAAACAUGCAUUGAUUGGAGACUCUAAAUUGCUGUGAUUGUGUGAGGUGUGAUUGUGAGUGGACUGCUGUCUGUUUCCAUGUGUUCUGCAAUUGGCUGGCAACCAGUUCAUGGUGUACCCUGCCUCCUGCCCAGUGACAACUGGGAUUGGCUCCAGCACUCACACGACCCUCGUGAGAAUAAGCGGCUCAGAAAAUGGAUUUCAAAACAUGAGGAACAGUUCUCAAAAUUUUGCAGAAGACCUGUAAAACUGACACAAUAGGAACAACGACACUAAGGUGCACAUUUAGAAUAUUUCUCCAGAAUUCGUAAGGUAUCGAAACGGAUAUUUCAUCUUUAGUUAACAAACAAAGGCGAAUCCACAGCUUUAAUCUUGCGGUUCCUUUUAAUCCCGGUGGUUGGCGCCCAUAAUAUUAACCAAGUAGUCUUCUUGGCAGGCAGGUCACUCAACUUUUUGUCAGAGAAGGAGUCUUUCGAAGCCAGGAAUCAAGAUUUGAUAUUGAGGCCCACUUGACAUCUACCAAGCAUUCUCCUAGUGGCCGUCUCACAGCAAGGCAGCAUGUGGGGAUGGAGUUAAUAAAUGGUUGACAGUCCCUAUCGCACCUCCAAUUGUGGGACAAUGUACAAGACCAAAAACUUUAAAAUGUUGUGGCGAUUGAUCUAAUACUUUAAAGGUUGAAGGAGAGAUGUUCACAUAAAUUUUGGUGAUGAUGGGUCGCAAUUUUCUGACAUUAAACAAUAUUCGGCUUUUUCUCUGUAGUGAGUGCCUAGGGAAGGAAAACAUUUCAUGUCCAUGGUGAUACAGCCAUUCAUUUCCAGAACAGCUUAUCAUCGCAAGGCUUGCUAGUCUUAGUCUAUCCCAGCAGUCAUCGGGUUGGAGGCAGAAUACACUCUGGGCACAUAGAAACAGACAACAGUCGCACUCACAAUCACACGUAGGGGCAAUUUUAGAGUGACCAAUUAUUGCAUGUUUUUGGGAUGUUGGAGGAAACAGGAGUGUUUGGGGAAAACACACGCAGGCACAUGGAGAACAAGCAGCAACAACAUGAGGCCAUAUGGCAGCAGCAUGAUGGCAAUGACCAUCAAUUUCUUGGUGAAAAAAGAUGAACAAAUCCACGAAGAAGUGCAUAUACUGUAUAAGCUAACAUUUUAUAUCACUUGAGAGGGGUUGGCCUCUGUUCCACUCUGGAGUUUCCCACAGUGAGAGAUGCCGAGCAGGUGUGGAUAUACUUAUUGCCCCACAGCUCGGGGCCUGUAACUUGGGGUUUACCCCGGUUAGUGAGAGGGUGGCUUCCCUCCGCCUGCAGGUAGGGGGACGGGUCCUGACUGUUGUUUGUGCCUAUGCACCAAACAGCAGUUCAGACUACCCACCCUUUUUGGAGUCCUUAGAGGGAGUGCUGGAGAGCGCUCCCUCUGGGGACUCCAUCAUUCUGCUGGGGGACUUCAAUGCCCACAUGGACAAUGACAGGGAGACCUGGAAGAGCGUGACUGGGAAGAACGGCCCCGCUGAUCAGAACCCAAGUGAUGUUCUGUUAUUGUACUGUUAUCUGUUAUCCGUAACGAACAACAAGCAUAAGAAUGUCCACGCACACCUGGCACCAGGACACCCUAGGUUGCAGUUCGAUGAUGGACUUUGUGGUUGCGUCAUUGGACUUCCGACCGCAUGUCUUGGACACUUGGGUGAAGAGAGGGGUGAGGCCAUGGAAAAUGACUUCUGGUCCUCCGUCUGGCAUCUCAGGAGGUGGAAGCAGUGCAUCGACAACACUGUGUAUAAUGAGGAUGGGGCACUGCUAAAGUCAACUCAGGAUGUUGUGAUUCGGUGGGGAAAAUACUUCAAAGACCUCCUCAAUUCCACCAACACGCCUCCCCAUGAGGAAGCUGAGUCUGGGUUUUCUGAGGCGGGCUCUUCUAUCUCUGGGGUUAAGGUCACCGAGGUGGUAAAAAAACUCCUUGGUGGCAGGGCCCCGGGAGUGGAUGAGAUUCGUCCGGAGUUCCUCGGGCUCUGGAGGUUUUGGGGCUGUCCUGGUUGACACGCCUCUACAACAUUGCAUGGACAUCGUCGACAGUGCCUCUGGAUUGACAGGCUGGGGUGGUGGUCCCCCUUUUUAAAGUGAUUCUAAUGUCUAAUUUUUAAUGCAAAUAAUCUUAUCUAGAUGAAAAAAUAUGUUCAACUGUACCAUAAAAUACGUAUUGUGAUAUAUGUUUUUUCCCAAAAAAUAUUAGUGUUUUUGAAUUAAAGUCUGCGAACUUUGACCUAGUUUCCAUCACCUGAAAAAAGAUUCAUUUUGGGGGCGGAGCCUCUGACGUCACUCAAGGUUCACCGGGUAUUGUGCAACUUACAUGAGCAUGGAGACUUGCUGGUUUUGAGAAUUCCUCAGUGAUUGUAAGCUAAAUCCAACCAUGACAGUGGUGAACUCGUGUGUGGUUCAGUUUUGUAGCAAUUUGAAUAAUUCUGGUCACAGUGUGCAUUAUUUUCCACAAGACCCACGGCUCAGAAGACAGUGGUAAGCAUUUCACCUGAACCUGGACACACUUCGACAAGCUUUGCCCUCCCACACAAAGGACCAAACCUGCAAUGAGCUUUUGUCAAAAGACAAUUUGCGGAGAUGUUGCAGGAAGCAUCUUCUGCAGUAGAGGUUGACAUCGAACCAGCAGAUGCAGAAUCUUCUUCUUUGGUCCAUUCCAAAAGUUGCCAGACUGAAGUGCCUGUUCAUGACGAACACAUCUUUUCGACAGCAGAGAGAAUACUGCAACAUGUAUUUCAACGUCAGGUGUUCUCAACGUACUGUUAUAGAAAGACCAAAUAAUAAUUCUGUGCUGUUAUGUAACAUUUAUACAAAAAAUAAGCAUACAGUUCAAUAA
This is a long non-coding RNA of Syngnathoides biaculeatus (alligator pipefish), 3456 nucleotides long. RefSeq lists it as uncharacterized. NCBI's taxonomy places the organism in Eukaryota, Metazoa, Chordata, Actinopteri, Syngnathiformes, Syngnathidae. The transcript is spliced from 3 exons. The record is from RefSeq and is a predicted model, not a curated record.